GAUGAACGCUGGCGGCGUGCUUAAUACAUGCAAGUCGAGCGAACGGACGAGAAGCUUGCUUCUCUGAUGUUAGCGGCGGACGGGUGAGUAACACGUGGAUAACCUACCUAUAAGACUGGGAUAACUUCGGGAAACCGGAGCUAAUACCGGAUAAUAUUUUGAACCGCAUGGUUCAAAAGUGAAAGACGGUCUUGCUGUCACUUAUAGAUGGAUCCGCGCUGCAUUAGCUAGUUGGUAAGGUAACGGCUUACCAAGGCAAAGAUGCAUAGCCGACCUGAGAGGGUGAUGGGACACACUGGAACUGAGAGCCGGUCCAGACUCCUACGGGAGGGAGCAGAAGGGAAUCUUACGCAAUGGGCGAAAGCCUGACGGAGCAACGCCGCGUGAGUGAUGAAGGUCUUCGGAUCGUACAACUCUGUUAGUAGGGAAGAACAUAUGUGUAAGUAACUGUGCACAUCUUGACGGUACCUAAUCAGAAAGCCACGGCUAACUACGUG
Molecule: ribosomal RNA, 497 nt
Filed under: uncultured bacterium
Lineage: Bacteria
Description: partial 16S ribosomal RNA
Rfam family: Bacterial small subunit ribosomal RNA
Source: RNAcentral